This 196-nucleotide microRNA precursor is filed under the name Oryza brachyantha (malo sina). Its description in RNAcentral is "MIR812 microRNA precursor family". It matches the Rfam family "MIR812 microRNA precursor family". Lineage: Eukaryota; Viridiplantae; Streptophyta; Magnoliopsida; Poales; Poaceae. The record is from Rfam by way of RNAcentral.
AAUAAACGAAUUUUAGAGUUUUUGGAUAAAAUUUUUGACUAUUCGUCUUAUUUAAAUUUUUUUACGAUUAGUGUUUUUAUUGUUAUUAUACGAUAAAUUAUGAAUAGUACUUUACAUGUGACUAAUUUUUUUCAAUUUUUUAAUAAUUUUUUUUAAAUAAGACGGAUGGUCAAACACUCCGUACACAAAACUCAGA